RNAcentral lists this long non-coding RNA (353 nucleotides) under Marmota monax (woodchuck). The record is from RNAcentral. Lineage: Eukaryota; Metazoa; Chordata; Mammalia; Rodentia; Sciuridae.
AUUAGCACAGAGUCAACUUGAGGAAUUAGUUGAAGGAGCAUGGAUUCACUUAGAUACUCCAGUGCUGAGUCCCCUCGCUUGAAACAGAACGCGAGAUGUGUUACAGCAGAAGUGCAGCAGCCCCGAGAGUCUUCACCAGACCCACAGCCCGAGCCCAUCAGAACCAACCCCGUGUGUCCCGGGGGAGAGAGCCACCCCUUGGUUGUGAUGUUUAGAUGUUGAGUCUUGCUUCCUCCUGUCUGGUGUGGGGGGUGGAGACUGGAGAAGGCAGCGCCCGGUAGGUGGACCUGGUCUGACCCCUCCUUCCAUCCUCCAGAAACUGAUUAUGAGCCAGGUCCUUGUUGCACCCCAAG